CAGGAUCGAUCCCACAUGACCUCCAUCGCAUUCUUACCUCCUACUCCCCCACCCACACUUGUUGUACUAAGAUUCACUCAUGCAUGCAGUUGCACACGGCGUUCUUCGUUUUGCUUGUUAGAUGCAUGCCUCCUCCACAGGAUGAGAACAGAAAGACGAAGGAAUAAAGCUCAGCCAUCGAUCGAGCUGCUGCGGGAAGGAGUCGCUUCACAGUCUGAGCCAUAAGGUCAUCUUCCCAAAAGGUUCCGAGUUCAUACGCAGGAACCGAGGGCGCAGUGUAGGCAUAUGCUGCAGAUGUCGUCGUUGAUCAACGAGUCAAGGAAGGAGGAGAAGAUGUCAUCAGUGUUCAGCGUGUCGGAGAAAUUUUUCUGGGUAUCCUCUGCUCGGAGGAGGGUGGGAGCGGUGCUGGGGAUUGCGCUAGGGUUAGGGUUACGGUAUAGCUGUGGUGAAAUAGGCU
Long non-coding RNA from Musa acuminata subsp. malaccensis (wild Malaysian banana), 457 nucleotides. RefSeq lists it as uncharacterized. NCBI's taxonomy places the organism in Eukaryota, Viridiplantae, Streptophyta, Magnoliopsida, Zingiberales, Musaceae. The record is from RefSeq and is a predicted model, not a curated record.